CAGCAUAUAGCAAGUGUUUACUUUCUACGUAGAUGGAUCACACAGAGGCAUCAACCAUUCUUUUGCCACCCAUGAGAACCUGCAGAAAUUUGUGAGAUGGAUAGCUAAAAUAAAGGAGCAAUAUGUAACCAACCUCACAAGAAAAAAACUAUAUUUUGUUUUUAACUACGUAAAUUUAUCUUGCUAGUUAAGAGAAGAUCAAUGCGUUUGUGACAAUAUACUUGAUUUAAAUUACUGUAUUCAAUUAAAAGGAAAGAAAUUGUUUCCAGUGAUAAAUCAACUAAAGAAUAAAACUAAUUGACGUCAAUAUUUUCCCCAGUUUUUUCUUGAUCACUAGAGGUUUUUUUGUUUGUUUGUUUUUUAAGAUUUCAUUUAUUUAUUCAUGCGAGACACAGAGUGGCAGAGACACAGGCAAAGGGAGAAGCAGGUUCCAUGCAGGGAGCCGGAUGUGGGACUCGAUCCUGGGACUGCAGGAUCAGGCCUUGGGCCGAAGGCAGACGCAAAACCACUGAGCUACCAAGGGAUCCCCAUGAUUACUAAAGGGAUUUUUAAUCAAAGUGAAUACUUGGCCUUACUUUUAUGGUUGGAGAAAGAGACACAUUUUUGCCUUCACUUGACAUGGAUAAUAAAACAUGUAGACCCCUGCAGUGGCUUGCUAUGCUGAAGAAGGCCUGCAUAAAGAUAGAUCCAACCCCUGAAGAAAGAAGGAACUGAAGGAUUCACAGAAAAAAGAAUCUGCACAAAGCUAUACUUUAUCAGUUUGAAAGCUACAUCACAUUAUUGAAGCAAAUGGAAAUUAUAGUCCUAUAACAACACUAUUCUUUCCACAUAAAUGCUUUUAUAGUGGAAAACAUCCAUAGAAACAUAAAGAUGAGAAUAAUAAGUUUCACCUCUGUUAAUUCAAUACUUUAACCUCUCUAAUAAUAUUGAUAUUGGGCUGUGGUACUUCUUUCUAUUAAUCUUUUAUCAUGACCAAUUAUACUGUUUCUCAAUUCAUUAUGCAAAAAUUGAUAGUGGAUCCUAAUAUUUUGUUCUACUGCUCAACUUGUAUACUUCCUCAUUUACUGUGAUUUUUCUCCUUCUUUAUUAUUCCCUCCAUAAAUGUUACCAGAAAAAGAAAUAUUAAAAUUGUCUUUUCUAUAAGAUUACAUGUUCAUCUAUCUGUUCUAUUUUCACAUGUCAAGUACAGCUUCCUAAAGUUGUAAAAUAUCAUACAACAGAUAAUGAAAACAUAAUCAUAUUAUAUGAGCUAUAAACCUUCUGACCUCAGGAUUUUUUUUGUAAUCAGAAGCAACAAGAUGCCAUGGCUUAGCAAAGAUUUCUCUCAAUUUUCUCUCAAUCUUAAGGCAAUAUGUAAUGGGAAGGAAGAUAGCCUCUCCAUAUAGAAAUUUUUAUGCAAGGGCCACUCAAAAACAGCAGUAGACAAUAAUCAUGUGUGAGAAUGGUUCAAAGACCAUACCAGGACCCAAUUCAAUGUGAUCACUUCAAUGUAAAAAAUUUGCUCCCUAACAGUACUAGGAAAAAUCUAUAUUUGAAUACAUCAUCUUAGGGCAUGUGGACAUGGAUAUCUAUGUGUCAAAGCAAAAGUAUCAAUAUCAUGCAAUUCUAAACAUUUUGUUGAAAUUUAGCAAAUUAAAUCGAUAGGAAUAUUUCUAUUUAGAAUA
This is a long non-coding RNA of Vulpes vulpes (red fox), 1664 nucleotides long. The record is from Ensembl. Lineage: Eukaryota; Metazoa; Chordata; Mammalia; Carnivora; Canidae.